UAAAUGCGAAAUGGCGACACGUUUCUAGGGGCAAGUUGAGCUUCAUACGGCAUAAUUUAUGCCACCAUAUUAUAUAUUCAUAUAUAUUCAGCUAAUUAAUAACCCACUUGGUAUCGCAUCUUUCUCUCCAUUAUUUCUUCCUUUCAUUUCAUCCAUAAUAAUAUAAUUAUUAUUAACUGCUUGAACCCUACUCCCACCUUCCACCUUCCAUUUCCCCUUUUCCAGAACUGCUUCCCCCCAGAUAACAGGUAUAAUAAAUAAAUAAAUAUAAGAUAGAAGGCAGAGAAUUGAAGAGGAGAGAAGAAAAGAGAAAACAAAAAACAAGUUGGGAAGUUGAAAAAAUAAGAAUGGGUUUCGUGGUGGUGGUAUCAUUGCCAUUGAUACUGUUGAUAUUGAUAGUGGCAUUAGCAUGUUAUCUAAUGGGUAGGGCCAAGGGUCGACAACAGGCAUGUGGAUAUCCUCAACAAUAUGGGCCACCAGCCCCUCCACCUCAGGCCCAAUACAAGCAACCGGAGCCCUAAACAUUCUGCUUCUUGCCCCAUUAACAAGUCCAAAAGAAAAAAACAACAAUGCUGCUUGGUCUCUCUUUUGUAUUAUUCUAUAUAUGUGAUAUGUUGUAUAGUUGAACUUAUUGUCUGCUGGAUAGUACAGUAAUCUUUGUUUAAUAAAUGAACUAAUUCAAAGAAGAAAACAAAGUAAAUAUUCAAGUUGCUACGUCUAUUUUAUAAGAGUUUAAUUUUGAUGUAAUGUAAAAUAUUUUAUACUAUUAUCUAUUUGCAUUUGUUCUUUUACAUAACUAUUUACGCCAUUAAUGAAAAGGUUUUUUUUC
This is a long non-coding RNA of Arachis duranensis, 829 nucleotides long. RefSeq lists it as uncharacterized. The record is from RefSeq and is a predicted model, not a curated record. The transcript is spliced from 2 exons. NCBI's taxonomy places the organism in Eukaryota, Viridiplantae, Streptophyta, Magnoliopsida, Fabales, Fabaceae.